This 497-nucleotide ribosomal RNA is filed under the name uncultured bacterium. RNAcentral describes it as "partial 16S ribosomal RNA". It matches the Rfam family "Bacterial small subunit ribosomal RNA", at positions 28 to 507 of the family's 1533-position model. The record is from RNAcentral.
GAUGAACGCUGGCGGCGUGCCUAAUACAUGCAAGUCGAGCGAACAGAUGAGGAGCUUGCUCCUCUGACGUUAGCGGCGGACGGGUGAGUAACACGUGGAUAACCUACCUAUAAGACUGGGAUAACUUCGGGAAACCGGAGCUAAUACCGGAUAAUAUAUUGAACCGCAUGGUUCAAUAGUGAAAGACGGUUUUGCUGUCACUUAUAGAUGGAUCCGCGCCGCAUUAGCUAGUUGGUAAGGUAACGGCUUACCAAGGCGACGAAGCGUAGCCGACCUGAGAGGGUGAUCGGCCACACUGGAACUGAGACACGGUCCAGACUCCUACGGGAGGCAGCAGUAGGGAAUCUUCCGCAAAGGGCGAAAGCCUGACGGAGCAACGCCGCGUGAGUGAUGAAGGUCUUCGGAUCGUAAAACUCUGUUAUUAGGGAAGAACAAAUGUGUAAGUAACUAUGCACGUCUUGACGGUACCUAAUCAGAAAGCCACGGCUAACUACGUG